RNAcentral lists this ribosomal RNA (324 nucleotides) under uncultured bacterium. RNAcentral describes it as "bacterial SSU rRNA". It matches the Rfam family "Bacterial small subunit ribosomal RNA", at positions 28 to 334 of the family's 1533-position model. The record is from RNAcentral.
GAUGAACGCUGGCGGCGUGCCUAACACAUGCAAGUCGAACGAAGCGAUUUUGCGGAAGUUUUCGGAUGGAAGUAAAAUUGACUGAGUGGCGGACGGGUGAGUAACGCGUGGGUAACCUGCCUCACACUGGGGGACAACAGUUAGAAAUGACUGCUAAUACCGCAUAAGCGCACAGUACCGCAUGGUACGGUGUGAAAAACUCCGGUGGUGUGAGAUGGACCCGCGUCUGAUUAGAUAGUUGGUGGGGUAACGGCCUACCAAGUCGACGAUCAGUAGCCGACCUGAGAGGGUGACCGGCCACAUUGGGACUGAGACACGGCCCAA